This 978-nucleotide unclassified non-coding RNA is filed under the name Hevea brasiliensis (rubber tree). Lineage: Eukaryota; Viridiplantae; Streptophyta; Magnoliopsida; Malpighiales; Euphorbiaceae. The record is from RNAcentral.
UGCUUCUGCUCCAAGAAGAAGGAUGAUGAUUGGCCCUGAAAUGCCCUCAGCUGAGUUACUUGCUGCUGCAGCAAAAUUAACAGAAGCACAAGCUAACCUGAGAGAAGCUGAGUUGGAAGAAGAUACUGAACUUUUUAUAGGACCUGCCCCACCUGCUAUGGUUGCUGAAGCUGAAUCUGCAAAUGAGGCAGAGCGUUUUGAAGAGGUGACGAGAAUAAUGGGUGUUGAAGGUGAUUCUUCAUAUGAUGUUGUAGGAGCGAAUCAUAAUACCUCUGCUGAAAAUAUAAAGAAGAGGUACUGGAAGCUGUCUCUUUUGGUGCAUCCAGAUAAGUGUUCUCAUCCUCAAGCCCACCAAGCAUUUAUCAAAUUGAAUAAAGCAUUUAAAGAGUUACAAGAUCCAGAUAAGCGAAAAUUGCUGGAUGAGAAAAUUAAACUCAAGGAGGAAGAGGAACAGUUUAAGGUUGAGUUGAAAGCCAUGCGUGAAGCUGCACAGUGGAGAAGAUCACAAGGUAUAUCAAUGGAGGGUGAUGAUGAGCUCCUGGCAGAAAUUGAAGUUAAAGUGGCCCCAAAAAGAGAUGAAUGGAUGACAACAUUGCCUCCUGAAAGGAAACCAGGCAUGACCAUGCAAUCUUCAAGAUUCGGCAAGAGUUCUAGAGAAGGACGUGGUGACACUAGCGUUUGGACAGAUACCCCUUCAGACAGAGCCCAAAAGGCCAAGAUGAAUUACUUGGAAGCAUAUAAUGAGGCUGCUGCACUUGCUUCAAAUGAAGAAGAAAAGAAAAGGACAAGUGCAGAUGCAGAUUUGGUGGACAAAUACAAUAAAGCAAAACGAUCAAAAUCUUUGGUACAAAAGCACCAAGAAGAGGCUGCAAGUCGUUCGAAGAAAAAAUCCAAGCAGCAACCAGAGAAGGAAGAGUGGGCGGGGCAACACCCGUGGAAGCCUUGGGAUCGUGAGAAGGAUCUCGUAGCUGGAAGGCG